RNAcentral lists this ribosomal RNA (424 nucleotides) under Abyssocladia oxyasters. RNAcentral describes it as "partial 28S ribosomal RNA". Lineage: Eukaryota; Metazoa; Porifera; Demospongiae; Poecilosclerida; Cladorhizidae. The record is from RNAcentral.
UGCAGCUGAAGCGGCUCCCCGUCAGGCUCAGGAGGAGGCGCGGGGGUUCCCGGCGGCGGGCGGAGGCCGAGGAGGCUCCGGUUCGCCGUCNGCGGCGCUGCCCCCCGUCCACUCUGCACUUCUGCGGGGAGCCGGCCAACGGCAGUCGCCCCCGGNUCUGGAGGCGUCCGGGGGAGGUGGCCCCGCGCNUUGCGGCGCGGGGAGCGUACAGCCCCGGCGCCCGGCAGUCCGGGCAGUUUCGAAAGGAAGCGGAGGCGACUGAGGAGAGGCGUUGCGGUCCUUCGCACGCGGCGGCGCGGGCCCUCUUUCUCUUCGGAGGAGAGGGCUGGGCCGCUUCCGUCGGGUCGGCGGCCGAGGAGGCCACUGCGCGUCAGUGGUCGCCGACGGCUCCGUCGCGCUCUGGCGGGAGGCCGGUCACACCUCG